GACGAACGCUGGCGGCGUGCCUAAUACAUGCAAGUCGAGCGGACUGAAUGGGAGCUUGCUCUUGUUCGGUCAGCGGCGGACGGGUAAGUAACACGUGGGCAACCUGCCCGCAAGACCGGGAUAACUCCGGGAAACCGGAGCUAAUACCGGAUAACACCGAAGACCGCAUGGUCUUUGGUUGAAAGGCGGCGCAAGCUGCCACUUGCGGAUGGGCCCGCGGCGCAUUAGCUAGUUGGUGAGGUAACGGCUCACCAAGGCGACGAUGCGUAGCCGGCCUGAGAGGGUGACCGGCCACACUGGGACUGAGACACGGCCCAGACUCCUACGGGAGGCAGCAGUAGGGAAUCUUCCGCAAUGGGCGAAAGCCUGACGGAGCGACGCCGCGUGAGCGAAGAAGGCCUUCGGGUCGUAAAGCUCUGUUGUGAGGGACGAAGGAGCGCCGUUUGAAGAAGGCGGCGCGGUGACGGUACCUCACGAGGAAGCCCCGGCUAACUACGUG
This 499-nucleotide ribosomal RNA is filed under the name uncultured bacterium. RNAcentral's name for it is "partial 16S ribosomal RNA". It matches the Rfam family "Bacterial small subunit ribosomal RNA", at positions 28 to 507 of the family's 1533-position model. The record is from RNAcentral.